This 309-nucleotide ribosomal RNA is filed under the name Triticum aestivum (bread wheat). Its description in RNAcentral is "partial small subunit ribosomal RNA". The record is from RNAcentral. Lineage: Eukaryota; Viridiplantae; Streptophyta; Magnoliopsida; Poales; Poaceae.
AUGAGGGGCCUUAUAGAGCGGCUGUGGCCAUUGGAGGCCAUGCCCGGGAGCUACUUCGGCUUGGUGCAGCGGCUGGUGGAUGCCUGUCCGCGGCUUGAAGUUAUCAAGUGCUCCGUCUGUAUUGAAGGGGUCCGUCGGGCCCUUGCCCGUGCUAAAGUGCACUGGGGGAAGCUGGAUGCGGAGAAGCUUGUGAUGGACGGGCCACCGAAGGGCCAUGAGCAUCGCACGCCCGAAAUGUAUUAUGAGGGCCUCCUGAAGGGUGCUCGCCGAAUAGCGGAUGAGUGCUCCAAGGAUGUAAUUUUUGAAUAG